Molecule: ribosomal RNA, 253 nt
Filed under: uncultured bacterium
Lineage: Bacteria
Description: partial 16S ribosomal RNA
Rfam family: Bacterial small subunit ribosomal RNA
Source: RNAcentral
UACGUAGGGUGCAAGCGUUAUCCGGAAUUAUUGGGCGUAAAGCGUCCGCAGGUGGCACCUCAAGUCUGCUGUCAAAGACCGGGGCUUAACCCCAGAAAGGCAGUGGAAACUGAAGUGCUAGAGUGCAGUAGGGGUAGAGGGAAUUCCCGGUGUAGCGGUGAAAUUCGUAGAUAUUGGGAAGAACACCGGUGGCGAAGGCGGUUCUCUGGGACGGUACUGACGCUGAGACGCGAAAGCGUGGGGAGCGAACAGG